GAUAAAAUGGCCGAGAUCUAAAGCAUAAGAUUGUAAAUCUUAUUAUGAAUAAUAUAUUCUUUUAUCA
RNAcentral lists this transfer RNA (67 nucleotides) under Pedetontinus luanchuanensis. RNAcentral's name for it is "tRNA-Tyr". It matches the Rfam family "tRNA". Rfam says of the family: Transfer RNA (tRNA) molecules are approximately 80 nucleotides in length. Their secondary structure includes four short double-helical elements and three loops (D, anti-codon, and T loops). Further hydrogen bonds mediate the characteristic L-shaped molecular structure. tRNAs have two regions of fundamental functional importance: the anti-codon, which is responsible for specific mRNA codon recognition, and the 3' end, to which the tRNAs corresponding amino acid is attached (by aminoacyl-tRNA synthetases). tRNAs cope with the degeneracy of the genetic code in two manners: having more than one tRNA (with a specific anti-codon) for a particular amino acid; and 'wobble' base-pairing, i.e. permitting non-standard base-pairing at the 3rd anti-codon position. Lineage: Eukaryota; Metazoa; Arthropoda; Insecta; Archaeognatha; Machilidae. The record is from RNAcentral.